CUUGGUCAUUUAGAGGAAGUAAAAGUCGUAACAAGGUCUCCGUUGGUGAACCAGCGGAGGGAUCAUUACCGAGUUUACAACCCCCAAACCCUUAUGUGAGCCGUACCUAUCGUUGCUUCGGCGGGAACGCCCCGGCGCCCUGCGCCCGGAUCCAGGCGCCCGCCGGAGACCCCAAACUCUUGUGUUUUUUUCAGUAUUCUCCGAGUGGCAAACGCAAAAAUAAAUCAAAACUUUUAACAACGGAUCUCUUGGCUCUGGCAUCGAUGAAGAACGCAGCGAAAUGCGAUAAGUAAUGUGAAUUGCAGAAUUCAGUGAAUCAUCGAAUCUUUGAACGCACAUUGCGCCCGUUAGCAUUCUAGCGGGCAUGCCUGUCCGAGCGUCAUUUCAACCCUCAGGGUCCCCGUUCCGGCGGGGAACCUGGUGUUGGGGAUCGGCCCGCCCCGUGCGGCGCCGUCCCCCAAAUUCAGUGGCGGUCUCGCUGCAGCCUCCCCUGCGUAGUAGUUACAACCUCGCAUCGGAGCUCAGCGCGGCCACGCCGUAAAACCCCCGACUUUCUGAACGUUGACCUCGGAUCAGGUAGGAAUACCCGCUGAACUUAAGCAUAUCAAUAAGCGGAGGAAAAGAAACCAACAGGGAUUGCCUUAGUAACGGCGAGUGAAGCGGCAACAGCUCAAAUUUGAAAUCUGGCCCCAGGCCCGAGUUGUAAUUUGCAGAGGAUGCUUUUGGCGCGGUGCCUUCCGAGUUCCCUGGAACGGGACGCCAUAGAGGGUGAGAGCCCCGUCUGGUUGGAUACCAAGCCUUUGUAAAGCUCCUUCGACGAGUCGAGUUGUUUGGGAAU
Molecule: small RNA, 838 nt
Filed under: uncultured Stachybotrys
Lineage: Eukaryota; Fungi; Ascomycota
Description: eukaryotic LSU rRNA
Rfam family: Eukaryotic large subunit ribosomal RNA (bases 563-838)
Source: RNAcentral